Molecule: ribosomal RNA, 702 nt
Filed under: uncultured marine eukaryote
Lineage: Eukaryota
Description: bacterial SSU rRNA
Rfam family: Eukaryotic small subunit ribosomal RNA
Source: RNAcentral
UAUCUGGUUGAUCCUGCCAGUAGUCAUAUGCUUGUCUCUAAGAUUAAGCCAUGCAUGUCUAAGUUUAGGGAUAAAUUUCUGAAACUGCGAAUGGCUCAUUAAAUCAGUCAUUAUUUACUUGAACGCAUAAUAUACUCGGACUUCCGUAGUAAAUCUAGGGCUAAUACGUGCUUCAAUCCUAGCUUCUAGUUGGGAUGCAUUUGUUGGACAUUAGACAGGUUAGCUGGGCUCGACUGUGAUUCGCACUCGCCUAACGAUUGGUGAUUCACGAUAACUUUACAGAUUACAAGUAUCAUAUCUUUGUAAUGGUUCAUUUAGAUUUCUGCCCUAUCAACUUUCGAUGGUAGGAUCGAGGCCUACCAUGGUGAUAACGGGUAACGGGGAAUCAGGGUUCGAUUCCGGAGAUGGAGCCUGAGAAAUGGCUACCACAUCCACGGAAGGCAGCAGGCGCGUAAAUUACCCAAUCCUGACACAGGGAGGUAGUGACAAGAAAUACUGAUGCCGGGCAUUCGCCUGGUUUUUGGAAUGAGCGCAAUUUACAACCCUUAACGAUAAUCCAUUGGAGGGCAAGUCUGGUGCCACAGCCCGCGGUAACUCAGCUUCAAUAGCGGAUAUUUAAAGUGCUGCAGUUAAAAAGCUCGUAGUGGAUUUAUAAAGAUAGUAUUAACAGGAACUUUUAAGUCUGAUAAUACCCAUCUUUGA